This 146-nucleotide non-coding RNA is filed under the name bovine gut metagenome. Its description in RNAcentral is "glmS glucosamine-6-phosphate activated ribozyme". It matches the Rfam family "glmS glucosamine-6-phosphate activated ribozyme aptamer", at positions 10 to 159 of the family's 167-position model. Rfam says of the family: This entry contains a glucosamine-6-phosphate activated ribozyme that is found in the mRNA for GlmS. The record is from RNAcentral.
AGCAUAGCGCCGGGACCGCAAUACCACCUCAGGCGGUUGACGAGGCGAGGGUAAUCGAAAGAUUCGGCGGAUACCCUCCGUGCCGCGGCAGCCCGUAAGGCGGCAGUCAAAAACCGAAGGAGACUUCGAAACAAAGCUGUUGUUAU